RNAcentral lists this ribosomal RNA (451 nucleotides) under Globigerinoides ruber ruber. RNAcentral's name for it is "SSU rRNA". It matches the Rfam family "Eukaryotic small subunit ribosomal RNA", at positions 1235 to 1478 of the family's 1831-position model. Lineage: Eukaryota; Foraminifera; Rotaliida; Globigerinidae. The record is from RNAcentral.
GAGGAUUGACAGACAGUUACCAUGCCCUUUCGAAAGGAGUCAGGUUUUAAACCUAAUGGCUCUUUCAUGAUUAUAUGAUAGGUGGUGCAUGGCCGUUCUUAGUUCGUGGAGUGAUCUGUCUGCUUAAUUGCGUUUCAAAUUUUUAUUUGAGGACCAGGUUUUGGUUUGGGUAGUGGUCCUACGAUGACUGUGAACUGUCAUGUCUUCGGAUGUGCGACUAUCGGUCUAGGAUCGCAUCUCAGCCCCUGGGACUCUUUUGAACGCAACGGACGUGAUUGCAACCCCUUGUUGAGAUUAGAGGAGUCUCGAUAUUCAUUGGCCAAACUUACCGCUUCGAGCUUGCUCGUGCAGUUUUGUUAGCCGGUGGAUAAACUCGGGGGACUGCUGACUAUAACCAUUUCUCAAAACAGAGGAAGGUUGCGGCAAUAACAGGUCUGUGAUGCCCUCAGAU